CGAUGAACACUAGGUGUCGGGGGAAUCGACCCCUCCGGUGUCGUAGCCAACGCGUUAAGUGUUCCGCCUGGGGAGUACGCACGCAAGUGUGAAACUCAAAGGAAUUGACGGGGGCCCGCACAAGCGGUGGAGUAUGUGGUUUAAUUCGAUGCAACGCGAAGAACCUUACCAGGAUUUGACAUCCUGCGAAUCUCUUGGAAACUUGAGAGUGCCUUCGGGAGCGCAGUGACAGGUGGUGCAUGGCUGUCGUCAGCUCGUGUCGUGAGAUGUUGGGUUAAGUCCCGCAACGAGCGCAACCCUCGUCGUAUGUUGCCAGCAUUAAGUUGGGGACUCAUACGAGACUGCCGGGGUCAACUCGGAGGAAGGUGGGGAUGACGUCAAGUCAUCAUGCCCCUUAUGUCUAGGGCUGCACGCAUGCUACAAUGGCUGGUACAAAGGGCUGCAAAACCGCAAGGUAGAGCGAAUCCCAAAAAGCCAGUCUCAGUUCGGAUUGGGGUCUGCAACUCGACCCCAUGAAGUCGGAGUCGCUAGUAAUCGCAGAUCAGCAACGCUGCGGUGAAUACGUUCCCGGGCCUUGUACACACCGCCCGUCACGUCACGAAAGUCGGCAACACCCGAAGCCAGUGGCCUAACCCGCAAGGGAAGGAGCUGUCGAAGGUGGGGCUGGUGAUUGGGACGAAGUCGUAACAAGGUAACC
RNAcentral lists this ribosomal RNA (697 nucleotides) under uncultured bacterium. RNAcentral's name for it is "bacterial SSU rRNA". It matches the Rfam family "Bacterial small subunit ribosomal RNA", at positions 807 to 1501 of the family's 1533-position model. The record is from RNAcentral.